CCCCUGUUUAUCAAAAACAUCUCCUUUUGUAAAAUAAAAGGUACCGCCUGCUCAAUGCUUUUAGUAAAUAGGCGCAGUAUUUUGACUGUGCUAAGGUAGCAUAAUCAUUAGUCUCUUAAUUGGAGGCUGGUAUGAAUGGUGAGACGAGAAAACGACUGUCUCUAGUAAAAUAAUUGAAUUUCAUUUCUAAGUGAAAAAGCUUAGAUGAAUUUGGAGGACGAUCAGACCCUUUGGAGCUUUAUCUGUUAUAUAAUUUGUAUUUAUUUAAGAUAAAAGAAUUAUUGAAUAGAUUUUGUUGGGGCGACAAAGAGUUAAAAAUAACACUCUUUUUAUAAAACAAAUAUGAUUGAAAAAUUGAUCCUUAUAGUAAGAUUAAAAGACUAAGUUACCCUAGGGAUAACAGCGUAAUCUUUUUAGAGAGUUCAUAUCGAUAAAAAGGUUUGCGACCUCGAUGUUGGAUUAAGAAAUUAGCAAGGUGCAGAAGUUUUGCUGGAAAGUCUGUUCGACUUUUAAACUCUUACAUGAUCUGAGUUCAAACCG
This 540-nucleotide ribosomal RNA is filed under the name Ceriodaphnia sp. 6 PS-2012. RNAcentral describes it as "partial 16S ribosomal RNA". It matches the Rfam family "Bacterial large subunit ribosomal RNA", at positions 1797 to 2618 of the family's 2925-position model. Lineage: Eukaryota; Metazoa; Arthropoda; Branchiopoda; Diplostraca; Daphniidae. The record is from RNAcentral.